Molecule: ribosomal RNA, 464 nt
Filed under: Vibrio sp. SCSIO 43169
Lineage: Bacteria; Pseudomonadati; Pseudomonadota; Gammaproteobacteria; Vibrionales; Vibrionaceae
Description: bacterial SSU rRNA
Rfam family: Bacterial small subunit ribosomal RNA
Source: RNAcentral
AAAUUGAAGAGUUUGAUCAUGGCUCAGAUUGAACGCUGGCGGCAGGCCUAACACAUGCAAGUCGAGCGGAAACGAGUUGUCUGAACCUUCGGGGAACGAUAACGGCGUCGAGCGGCGGACGGGUGAGUAAUGCCUGGGAAAUUGCCCUGAUGUGGGGGAUAACCAUUGGAAACGAUGGCUAAUACCGCAUAAUAGCUUCGGCUCAAAGAGGGGGACCUUCGGGCCUCUCGCGUCAGGAUAUGCCCAGGUGGGAUUAGCUAGUUGGUGAGGUAAUGGCUCACCAAGGCGACGAUCCCUAGCUGGUCUGAGAGGAUGAUCAGCCACACUGGAACUGAGACACGGUCCAGACUCCUACGGGAGGCAGCAGUGGGGAAUAUUGCACAAUGGGCGCAAGCCUGAUGCAGCCAUGCCGCGUGUAUGAAGAAGGCCUUCGGGUUGUAAAGUACUUUCAGCAGUGAGGAAGG